This is a long non-coding RNA of Daphnia magna, 222 nucleotides long. RefSeq lists it as uncharacterized. The transcript is spliced from 2 exons. The record is from RefSeq and is a predicted model, not a curated record. Lineage: Eukaryota; Metazoa; Arthropoda; Branchiopoda; Diplostraca; Daphniidae.
UCUUUCGAUAGGUGCGUUAUCUGACAAGUUUAAUCACUGCUUGUAAUUUUUCUCAAUUUUGGGGGAUAUAUACGCUGGUAUUUUGAAGGAUUAUUUAUCUGAAAUUUAUGUAUGAACAUAAUUUCUGUUGCUGCCAGCUGUAUGAGCUUCUGAUCCAGUAAAUAGUGAAUUUGGGACUGUGUUGAAGUGAAAUACAAUUAAGAAUACAAUGGAUGAAUAUGA